RNAcentral lists this long non-coding RNA (1249 nucleotides) under Homo sapiens (human). RNAcentral's name for it is "HSALNT0202567". Lineage: Eukaryota; Metazoa; Chordata; Mammalia; Primates; Hominidae. The record is from RNAcentral.
GGAAGGGCCUCAGAGAACGCCCGGCUACUUCAAUGCAGGUUCCCUACAGAUGCAAAUCUCUCCCACAAAAGACAGCUUUGCAGGGCUACUUCUGUUUGCAGACCCUCUGAACAGGCAUCUUAUCAAAGAAGUAUACUCUGGGGUGAAAUAUUUUGGCUUCCUUCAUCGCUAUCACUCCAGAAGCCCCAUCAUGCUUCCUUCCAGUCUUUAGACACAAGAGGAACUACAUUUCAGGUUUCUAGCAGCACAGAUGAGAUUUGUUGUUGUUUGUACUUCAGAUGAAUAGAUAUAUAAGAUACAGAAGGUACAUGUGCAGACUUGUUGCAUGGGAAUAUUGCAUGAUGCUGAGCUUUGGGGUAUGGAUCCUGUCACCUAGCUUGUGAAUAUAGUACCUGGUGCAAAGUUAGAUUGCUCAUUUGAGACCUGUCUGACUUAUCCAUGAAGACACUUAGGGCUAUAAACUUUCCUCUUAAGACUACUUUGGCUGCAUCUCAGAGAUUUGAUUAACCACCAGAGAAAAACACAUUUCCUGUCGUUUCUCCAAUCAGACCCGAAGUAUCGGAACAGAUAUGAACAAUUCUCCUUUUUUUUUUUUCCCAGACAGCAAUUUAGAAUAAUUAGGGUAAUUUAUACAUAAGGCUCUGGCCCAGACCUUAUAUAAUAGAUCUUGGAAAUGACCAUUAUCUUAAAGGUGACAUUUAAAUUAAAAACAGUGGCAGUGAGCAUAAAGUUUGAAAGCACAGGCUGUGCAGUCAUGCAUAGUGGCUCUGUUAGGAAUUUGUCUCUCCCACUACAUGUUUUGUAGCUUUAGAAAAGUUAUUAAUGUCCCUAAGCCUCCAUUUGCAAAACUGGAAUGAAUAUGAAAAGAUUGUUGAGAGAAAUACAAAUUUAAUCCAUAUAAAACCCUUUGUAUGAUAUCUGAAAUAGAAUAAGAAGAUAAAUAUUUCUUAUUAUUAAGCUGCCUUUGAAAUAAUUGCCUCGAAUGACACUGAGCCUGUGAUCUGAAUUUAGGUUUGCUGUAUACAUGUCUUAGAGGCAACUCUAAACUGAAAAAUAAAAAUGAGUAAAUCUGCAACAUCAAAUCUUUGAGCAUUUCUAUUGAUUUCAGUUUGGUAUGCUUAUGAAACUUUAGCUUACAAGCCACUUCCAGUGAAUGCUACUCUCAACUAAUGAUGUCAUCAUCGCAUUUCUUUAUCCUCUCACACCUGCAAGUUUUGCUUCCAAGCUAAACACCCACACUAUCUGCUGC